UGGGGAAUAUUGCACAAUGGGCUCAUGUCUGAUGCAGCCAUGCCGCGUGUAUGAAGAAGGCCUUCGGGUUGUAAAGUACUUUCAGUCGGGAGGAAGGUGUCAAGGUUAAUAACCUUGGCAAUUGACGUUACCGACAGAAGAAGCACCGGCUAACUCCGUGCCAGCAGCCGCGGUAAUACGGAGGGUGCAAGCGUUAAUCGGAAUUACUGGGCGUAAAGCGCACGCAGGCGGUUGAUUGAGUCAGAUGUGCAAUCCCCGGGCUUUACCCGGGAAUUGCAUCUGAUACUGGUCAGCUAGAGUCUUGUAGAGGGGGGUAGAAUUCCAUGUGUAGCGGUGAAAUGCGUAGAGAUGUGGAGGAAUACCGGUGGCGAACGCGGCCCCCUGGACAAAGACUGACGCUCAGGUGCGAAAGCGUGGGGAGCAAACAGG
RNAcentral lists this ribosomal RNA (429 nucleotides) under Chloroflexota bacterium. RNAcentral describes it as "Chloroflexi bacterium partial 16S ribosomal RNA". It matches the Rfam family "Bacterial small subunit ribosomal RNA", at positions 355 to 776 of the family's 1533-position model. The record is from RNAcentral. Lineage: Bacteria; Bacillati; Chloroflexota.